GCCGAAGUGGUGGAAUUGGUAGACACGUACGUUUGAGGGGCGUAUGGGCAACCGUGGGGGUUCGAGUCCCCCCUUCGGCA
RNAcentral lists this transfer RNA (80 nucleotides) under Chloracidobacterium thermophilum B. RNAcentral's name for it is "Candidatus Chloracidobacterium thermophilum B tRNA". It matches the Rfam family "tRNA". From Rfam's summary of the family: Transfer RNA (tRNA) molecules are approximately 80 nucleotides in length. Their secondary structure includes four short double-helical elements and three loops (D, anti-codon, and T loops). The record is from Rfam by way of RNAcentral. Lineage: Bacteria; Pseudomonadati; Acidobacteriota; Blastocatellia; Chloracidobacteriales; Chloracidobacteriaceae. RNAcentral also lists the same sequence under 2 other names.